UACGUAGGGCGCAAGCGUUAUCCGGAAUUAUUGGGCGUAAAGAGCUCGUAGGCGGUUUGUCGCGUCUGCCGUGAAAGUCCGGGGCUCAACUCCGGAUCUGCGGUGGGUACGGGCAGACUAGAGUGAUGUAGGGGAGACUGGAAUUCCUGGUGUAGCGGUGAAAUGCGCAGAUAUCAGGAGGAACACCGAUGGCGAAGGCAGUGUCCUGGGAAGUACCUGACGCUCAGGUGCGAAAGCUAGGGGAGCGAACAGG
RNAcentral lists this ribosomal RNA (253 nucleotides) under uncultured bacterium. Its description in RNAcentral is "partial 16S ribosomal RNA". It matches the Rfam family "Bacterial small subunit ribosomal RNA", at positions 524 to 776 of the family's 1533-position model. The record is from RNAcentral.